Molecule: ribosomal RNA, 253 nt
Filed under: uncultured bacterium
Lineage: Bacteria
Description: partial 16S ribosomal RNA
Rfam family: Bacterial small subunit ribosomal RNA
Source: RNAcentral
UACGUAGGGGGCAAGCGUUGUCCGGAUUUACUGGGCGUAAAGAGCGUGUAGGCGGCCAAACAGGUCCGUUGUGAAAACUGGAGGCUCAACCUCCAGACGUCGACGGAAACCGUGUGGCUAGAGUCCGGAAGAGGAGAGUGGAAUUCCUGGUGUAGCGGUGAAAUGCGUAGAGAUCAGGAAGAACAUCGGUGGCGAAGGCGCUCUGCUGGACCAUAACUGACACUCAGGGACGAAAGCUAGGGGAGCGAAUGGG